GCACAAGUCCCGCCCCCAGACCCUCCAAUCCGCGCUUGGCCACACCCUCCUCCUCUCCGGCCCGCGUCGUCUUCCGGGUUUCUGUUCGCCGCUCGGGCUUCCUGGUGUUCCCCGGGCGCCUUCAGUCCUCCUGCCUUGCCCUUCAGCACCGUGAUCACGUGGAACGCUGGUGGGCCGACCCGAGCUUUGCCUGAUGAGUGCCAGAACUAACAGUUGGGACUCAUGCAAAACAAUAUUCCUGGCACUAUGUGAAUCAAGAUGAGAACAAUGCCAGAGGAAGACACAUCACCCUGCAGUGCAGCAACUAACUGGCCCCAGAAUCCUUCCUGUUCAACAGCUGAGCAAAGCCACCAGUGAUAACAAAGAAAACACUUAAACUGGCUCAGACUCCUUCGCAAAGUGAAUUGUCUGCUACUUGAAAAACACCAUUCUUGUGUCUACAUCAUGCCUGCAGUGAGUGAACCAUAGCUCAUAUGUACGUCAAGCCAACACCCUUCCCUCUCCGCAGGCGGUGCUGAGCACAGGAGGGAGGUGUGAGUGCUGAGUCCAGGAGGGUGAGGAUUCUGGAUGUCAUUGAUCAUCAGCAUGACCACUUGAAUCCAGUCUUGAUUCGUAAGACUUCUGGUUUCUGAUUCAAGGAUCUACAAGGGCUACAAUGAAAUAAUCAACUAGGGGCUCAAGUUUAAAUUUUUUGCA
RNAcentral lists this long non-coding RNA (696 nucleotides) under Cricetulus griseus (Chinese hamster). Its description in RNAcentral is "lncRNA (ENSCGRG00015029266.1)". Lineage: Eukaryota; Metazoa; Chordata; Mammalia; Rodentia; Cricetidae. The record is from RNAcentral.